UGGGAACGUACCUUUUGGUUCGGAACAACCCAGGGAAACUUGGGCUAAUACCGGAUAAGUCCGUAAGGAGAAAGAUUUAUCGCCAAAAGAUCGGCCCGCGUCUGAUUAGCUAGUUGGUGAGGUAACGGCUCACCAAGGCGACGAUCAGUAGCUGGUCUGAGAGGAUGAUCAGCCACACUGGGACUGAGACACGGCCCAGACUCCUACGGGAGGCAG
RNAcentral lists this ribosomal RNA (216 nucleotides) under uncultured bacterium. Its description in RNAcentral is "partial 16S ribosomal RNA". It matches the Rfam family "Bacterial small subunit ribosomal RNA", at positions 118 to 351 of the family's 1533-position model. The record is from RNAcentral.